This 525-nucleotide long non-coding RNA is filed under the name Theropithecus gelada (gelada). Its description in RNAcentral is "lncRNA (ENSTGEG00000012056.1)". Lineage: Eukaryota; Metazoa; Chordata; Mammalia; Primates; Cercopithecidae. The record is from RNAcentral.
GGCGGAGGGGGCGAGCGGGGCCGGGAGCGGCGGGCGGGCGGGUGGGCGAGGGCGCGGCGGUGGCGACUCCGGCGGCAGCCUCGGCGGUCUGGGCGGGGCGGGAAGCCCGCUUUCAACCCCGCGUACCCUCUGACCCCGGAAGUGCUUGCUGCGCAGGACCCCUUGAAAAAAAAUGAGGACCCGUCUUUUUUAGGUCACAAGAUUGCGCCAACCCUCACAUGGUCCUCAAAAAAAAAACCCUUCUGACACUGCAGUAGUGAAAAUCAAGCGCACUAUGGGCGGAAACUAGGAAGACACUUAAACAUAAAGAUGAAGUGCCUAAUUCAAGGUCACACAAUGUCGGGGAUGGACCUCCAGAUUUCCUUACUGACCUGCAUUAUCUGUGGAUACCUGAGUGAAUUACACAGCACCCAUUUUAUAGAUGAAGCCACUGAGACAUGGAGCAACUGACUGAGUAGUCACUGCCCCACCCCUGGAGCCUCACACAUGACUCGUCUCCUCUCAGUGACCACAGGUUGGUUGAGG